RNAcentral lists this ribosomal RNA (497 nucleotides) under uncultured bacterium. Its description in RNAcentral is "partial 16S ribosomal RNA". It matches the Rfam family "Bacterial small subunit ribosomal RNA", at positions 28 to 507 of the family's 1533-position model. The record is from RNAcentral.
GAUGAACGCUGGCGGCGUGCCUAAUACAUGCAAGUCGAGCGACAAGACGAGGAGCUUGCUCCUCUGCCGUUAGCGGCGGACGGGCGAGUAACACGUGGAUAACCUACUUCUAUUACUGGGGUAACUUCGGGAAACAGGAGCUACUAACGGCUCAUAUAUUGAACCGCUUGGUUCAAUGGUGAAAGGCGGUUUUCCCGUUACUUUUAGCUGGAUCCGCGCCGCAUUAGCUAGUUGGUAAGGUAACGGCUUACCAAGGCGACGAUGCGUAGCUGACCUGAGAGGGUGAUCAGCCACACUGGAACUGAGACACGGUCCAGACUCCUACGGGAGGCAGCAGUGGGGAAUCUUCCACAAUGGGCGAAAGCUUGACGGAGCAACACCGCGUGAGUGAUGAAGGUCUUCGGAUCGUAAAGCUCUGUUGUUGGGGAAGAACAAAAGCGGAAGAAACUAUGCACGUCUUGACGGUACCUAAUCAGAAAGCCACGGCUAACUACGUG